This 75-nucleotide transfer RNA is filed under the name Danionella cerebrum. Its description in RNAcentral is "tRNA-Ser". The stretch from base 7 to 67 matches the Rfam family "tRNA", at positions 7 to 64 of the family's 71-position model. Rfam says of the family: Transfer RNA (tRNA) molecules are approximately 80 nucleotides in length. Their secondary structure includes four short double-helical elements and three loops (D, anti-codon, and T loops). Further hydrogen bonds mediate the characteristic L-shaped molecular structure. tRNAs have two regions of fundamental functional importance: the anti-codon, which is responsible for specific mRNA codon recognition, and the 3' end, to which the tRNAs corresponding amino acid is attached (by aminoacyl-tRNA synthetases). tRNAs cope with the degeneracy of the genetic code in two manners: having more than one tRNA (with a specific anti-codon) for a particular amino acid; and 'wobble' base-pairing, i.e. permitting non-standard base-pairing at the 3rd anti-codon position. The record is from RNAcentral. Lineage: Eukaryota; Metazoa; Chordata; Actinopteri; Cypriniformes; Danionidae.
CUAGUCGUGGCCUAGUGGAUAGGGUGGUUGACUGGAGAUCAAAAGGUCGCUGGUUCGAUCCCCAGCCCCACUAGG